CCUACGGGAGGCAGCAGUGGGGAAUAUUGGGCAAUGGGCGAAAGCCUGACCCAGCGACGCCGCGUGAGGGACGAAGGCCUUCGGGUUGUAAACCUCUUUCAGCAGGGAAGAAGCGAAAGUGACGGUACCUGCAGAAGAAGCACCGGCUAACUACGUGCCAGCAGCCGCGGUAAUACGUAGGGUGCAAGCGUUGUCCGGAAUUAUUGGGCGUAAAGAGCUCGUAGGUGGUUUGCCACGUCGGAUGUGAAAACCUGAGGCUUAACCUCAGGCCUGCAUUCGAUACGGGCAGACUAGAGUGUGGUAGGGGAGACUGGAAUUCCUGGUGUAGCGGUGAAAUGCGCAGAUAUCAGGAGGAACACCGGUGGCGAAGGCGGGUCUCUGGGCCAUAACUGACACUGAGGAGCGAAAGCGUGGGGAGCAAACAGGAUUAGAUACCCUGGUAGUCCACGCCGUAAACGGUGGGCACUAGAUGUGGGGACCUUCCACGGUCUCUGCGUCGCAGCUAACGCAUUAAGUGCCCCGCCUGGGGAGUACGGCCGCAAGGCUAAAACUUAAAUGAAUUGACGGCUGAGAGNGCGAGACGACGACGAGGAGAG
RNAcentral lists this ribosomal RNA (596 nucleotides) under uncultured bacterium. RNAcentral describes it as "bacterial SSU rRNA". It matches the Rfam family "Bacterial small subunit ribosomal RNA", at positions 338 to 945 of the family's 1533-position model. The record is from RNAcentral.